UUAAAUUGAAGAGUUUGAUCAUGGCUCAGAUUGAACGCUGGCGGCAGGCCUAACACAUGCAAGUCGAACGGUAACAGGAAACAGCUUGCUGCUUUCGCUGACGAGUGGCGGACGGGUGAGUAAUGUCUGGGAAACUGCCUGAUGGAGGGGGAUAACUACUGGAAACGGUAGCUAAUACCGCAUAACGUCGCAAGACCAAAGAGGGGGACCUUCGGGCCUCUUGCCAUCGGAUGUGCCCAGAUGGGAUUAGCUAGUAGGUGGGGUAACGGCUCACCUAGGCGACGAUCCCUAGCUGGUCUGAGAGGAUGACCAGCCACACUGGAACUGAGACACGGUCCAGACUCCUACGGGAGGCAGCAGUGGGGAAUAUUGCACAAUGGGCGCAAGCCUGAUGCAGCCAUGCCGCGUGUAUGAAGAAGGCCUCGGGUUGUAAAGUACUUUCAGCGGGGAGGAAGGGAGUAAAGUUAAUACCUUUGCUCAUUGACGUUACCCGCAGAAGAAGCACCGGCUAACUCCGUGCCAGCAGCCGCGGUAAUACGGAGGGUGCAAGCGUUAAUCGGAAUUACUGGGCGUAAAGCGCACGCAGGCGGUUUGUUAAGUCAGAUGUGAAAUCCCCGGGCUCAACCUGGGAACUGCAUCUGAUACUGGCAAGCUUGAGUCUCGUAGAGGGGGGUAGAAUUCCAGGUGUAGCGGUGAAAUGCGUAGAGAUCUGGAGGAAUACCGGUGGCGAAGGCGGCCCCCUGGACGAAGACUGACGCUCAGGUGCGAAAGCGUGGGGAGCAAACAGGAUUAGAUACCCUGGUAGUCCACGCCGUAAACGAUGUCGACUUGGAGGUUGUGCCCUUGAGGCGUGGCUUCCGGAGCUAACGCGUUAAGUCGACCGCCUGGGGAGUACGGCCGCAAGGUUAAAACUCAAAUGAAUUGACGGGGGCCCGCACAAGCGGUGGAGCAUGUGGUUUAAUUCGAUGCAACGCGAAGAACCUUACCUGGUCUUGACAUCCACGGAAGUUUUCAGAGAUGAGAAUGUGCCUUCGGGAACCGUGAGACAGGUGCUGCAUGGCUGUCGUCAGCUCGUGUUGUGAAAUGUUGGGUUAAGUCCCGCAACGAGCGCAACCCUUAUCCUUUGUUGCCAGCGGUCCGGCCGGGAACUCAAAGGAGACUGCCAGUGAUAAACUGGAGGAAGGUGGGGAUGACGUCAAGUCAUCAUGGCCCUUACGACCAGGGCUACACACGUGCUACAAUGGCGCAUACAAAGAGAAGCGACCUCGCGAGAGCAAGCGGACCUCAUAAAGUGCGUCGUAGUCCGGAUUGGAGUCUGCAACUCGACUCCAUGAAGUCGGAAUCGCUAGUAAUCGUGGAUCAGAAUGCCACGGUGAAUACGUUCCCGGGCCUUGUACACACCGCCCGUCACACCAUGGGAGUGGGUUGCAAAAGAAGUAGGUAGCUUAACCUUCGGGAGGGCGCUUACCACUUUGUGAUUCAUGACUGGGGUGAAGUCGUAACAAGGUAACCGUAGGGGAACCUGCGGUUGGAUCACCUCCUUACCUUAAAGAAGC
This 1556-nucleotide ribosomal RNA is filed under the name Escherichia coli. Its description in RNAcentral is "bacterial SSU rRNA". It matches the Rfam family "Bacterial small subunit ribosomal RNA". Lineage: Bacteria; Pseudomonadati; Pseudomonadota; Gammaproteobacteria; Enterobacterales; Enterobacteriaceae. The record is from RNAcentral.